This 336-nucleotide ribosomal RNA is filed under the name uncultured Anaerolineaceae bacterium. Its description in RNAcentral is "bacterial SSU rRNA". It matches the Rfam family "Bacterial small subunit ribosomal RNA", at positions 1032 to 1382 of the family's 1533-position model. Lineage: Bacteria; Bacillati; Chloroflexota; Anaerolineae; Anaerolineales; Anaerolineaceae. The record is from RNAcentral.
GCACAGGUGCUGCAUGGCUGUCGUCAGCUCGUGUCGUGAGAUGUUCGGUUAAGUCCGCUAACGAGCGCAACCCUCGUCGUAUGUUAUAUGUGUCAUACGAGACUGCCGGUAAAAAGCCGGAGGAAGGUGAGGAUGAUGUCAAGUCAGCAUGACCUUUAUAUCCAGGGCUACACACACGCUACAAUGGUCUGUACAAUGGGUAGCCAAGCCGCGAGGCGGAGCCAAUCCUGAAAGCAGGCCUCAGUUCAGAUUGCAGUCUGCAACUCGACUGCAUGAAGCCGGAGUUGCUAGUAACCGCAGGUCAGCAAUACUGCGGUGAAUACGUUCCCGGGUCUU